UUUUUUUCUUUCUCUCCUUCGGUUUCUCUUCUCUCCUGCGAAAGGCGAUUCAAUGGCGGGCUCUAUCGGUUGGUCUUCUCUCGUCUCGCUCUAUUCGUCGUUACACCUCUUCUUACUCUUAUCCUCCAUCGUCUUCUCCACUAUCGUCUCCUCUCUGUUUCAAGCUUCUCUUUGGUCAAACAACAGGUCUGGUGAGCAAGCGUGCACUGCUUAUGUGAUGUUCAAGGAUUCUUAUUCUCAAGAAACUAAAGUUUUACUCACUGUAUAAGACCGUGUACAACGAGAGAGGAGAGGUUUCUGGGGAACAACACGUUGAAUGGUUCAUUGCCCACUCAAAAGAGCCAGACUUUGAGCAAUAUGACUGAGCUGCCUGCAGAAAGACUUCCCUUGCAAUCGAGGCAAAGCAUUAUAUUCUGAAUUUUCGAUCAACUGCGGAGGCCCACCAAUACGGUUUGUUAGCGGAGCAUUAUUUGAGAGGGAGGACGAGGAGCUGGGACUAGCUUCAUU
Long non-coding RNA from Brassica oleracea var. oleracea, 507 nucleotides. RefSeq lists it as uncharacterized. Lineage: Eukaryota; Viridiplantae; Streptophyta; Magnoliopsida; Brassicales; Brassicaceae. The transcript is spliced from 5 exons. The record is from RefSeq and is a predicted model, not a curated record.